UGCCUUGGUGGUGAAAUGGUAGACACGUGAGACUCAAAAUCUCGUGCUAAAGAGCGUGGAGGUUCGAGUCCUCUUCAAGGCAUAAUACUCAAAAUCUCGUGCUAAAGAGCGUGGAGGUUCGAGUCCUCUUCAAGGCAU
Molecule: transfer RNA, 138 nt
Filed under: Reaumuria songarica
Lineage: Eukaryota; Viridiplantae; Streptophyta; Magnoliopsida; Caryophyllales; Tamaricaceae
Description: Hololachna songarica tRNA-Leu
Rfam family: tRNA (bases 2-82)
About the family: Transfer RNA (tRNA) molecules are approximately 80 nucleotides in length. Their secondary structure includes four short double-helical elements and three loops (D, anti-codon, and T loops).
Source: RNAcentral